AUUGGCUAGAAGAAGUCACAUGGCCCACCCAACCAUAAAGAGACCUCUGAAACUUAUCCCCGCUGACGUAAGCUCUUUAAAACUUGACAACACCAUCUUCAGUGCCAAGAACAGUGGUCUGGAAUAUACUGGAGACUCAAAACAGCUACAGUGAAGGAAGAGGGGAUAGGCAAGAGGAAGAAAAUUAAUGUGGGUGUCCCCAAUCCACAACAGGUCUGAGGAGUCUUCUCCACCUCCAGAGCUGAAAUGUAUUCAAAGAGAUUGGCCAAAGGGACAGUUAAGCCUUCAGGAAAGAUUAUCCUGCAACUGGAUUGUUAGGAAAUGCUCUUAGAAGGACAUGAAAAUCCUCCACAUAUUCAUCUUUUCAUCUUAUUUAUCAGCUUUGGAUAAUUCUCCUCAGUAAAACUUAUGAUGAAGCAUUUUAAAUGUCAGCUUUAAAAGGUAAGAAAA
This 450-nucleotide long non-coding RNA is filed under the name Suricata suricatta (meerkat). RNAcentral's name for it is "lncRNA (ENSSSUG00005006172.1)". The record is from RNAcentral. Lineage: Eukaryota; Metazoa; Chordata; Mammalia; Carnivora; Herpestidae.